This 833-nucleotide long non-coding RNA is filed under the name Nicotiana tabacum (common tobacco). RNAcentral describes it as "long non-coding RNA (NTAB_LNC007341)". The record is from RNAcentral. Lineage: Eukaryota; Viridiplantae; Streptophyta; Magnoliopsida; Solanales; Solanaceae.
GGGAUAGAAAAGAACGCCUGAAGAGAGAUCUAGGCAAAAACAAAAUCAAAGAAAAAGGAAAGAGGCAUCUGAAAAGGGGGCUGACAAGCGCAACUUUUCAACAGGGACAGACCCCCCCCCUCCUCGUCUUCUUCACAGACCCAACCCCAUCGGAUAUCCAUCUCAUCGACACCCCCAAGAACCCAGCAGCAGCAACUCGCACAAAUGACCCCGGCUCUCUUCGUCAAAUAGAGAACACCAGAAAGACCCCACCCUAAACGUCCUCCAUUUAUUUCCGGCAAGUUUUGGUUUAAUUUGAGUUUUCCAGCGAGUUCCGAGUUCGUCGAAGGUCGUAAUCUGAGGUUUUCGGGCAGAUUUGCGGUUCCGUCGUGGUUGUCUCUGUCAAAGGUUUCCGGUGUUAAGUAUUUUCAAAUUCAAAAAUUGCUUUGUUUUGAGGUCCGUUCGUUGUUCUGAUUUCGAUUUCGGCUCUAAAUGUUGAUAUCUGUUUAAUCAUUCAAGCUGUGAUGAGUGAAAUAUAAUUCUGAUAAUUGCAUGAUUUUCGUGGAUCUGUGUUAAUUAAUUGACCUUAAUGUUUUGUUAAAUAUUUUGUCACACAGUUGGAGCCCAGUUGAAGCUACUUCGCCGAUUUCUUUGUUGAAAGUGUGAUGUUGUGUGUUUUAUAUCGCUUGAUAUCCGAUUUUAAUUACACGAUUAAGUGAAGAGUUUGAAUACAUGGAGUUAAUUGUCAACUACUUCAUGGAAAGUUUGUUUGUUCAAAUGAUGAAAAGUGUUUCAUGUAGUAUCUUUGUAUUUGUUUUUUCUUUAGUAAUAUUAAGUGGCGUUAUUUUGAGUGA